Capsella rubella is the source of this 3683-nucleotide RNA transcript. It is a transcript of the gene named serine/threonine-protein kinase prpf4B, with no coding region annotated. The record is from RefSeq and is a predicted model, not a curated record. The transcript is spliced from 17 exons. NCBI's taxonomy places the organism in Eukaryota, Viridiplantae, Streptophyta, Magnoliopsida, Brassicales, Brassicaceae.
GUCGUGAUUCGUAACCAAUUUGAUUGAGCCUUAACCCUAAUUUUGAUUUCGACGAUUCUCUCUGAUGGCGAACGACAAGCAGAUCGAAUCUCACCACCGCAAACACCACCGUCCGUCUUCUUCCUCCGAGGAAACCGAUAAAUCGUCGAAGCGGCACAAGCACCGUCACCACAAGCAUCAUCACCACAGGCAUCAUCGCCAUCACCGUGAUAAGAAGCGCGGCGAUGAAAUUCCAUCCGCCGGGGAUGAGAUAGAGGCGAUGGAUGUUACGGAGGCGGAUCCGAUUGGAGUUAGUAACGGUCGUGAAGAGGAUGUGGAGGAAGGAGAGAUUUUAGAAGAAGGAGGGCUUGGCGAUGUUUUGAUGAAGCCGGCAGAUUCCGACGGCGAGUCAGGCGAAAUAAAAUCCGAUCAGUUUCGAGAUAAUGAUUUGCCUCCCCAUGGGGAAAAAGGGCGUCAAGGAGAAGAGGAUAAGAGGUGGUGUAAAGAAGCUGGAGAUCCUUUAGAGAGAGUUAGUAAGAGACGUUAUGAGAAUGGCAGGAGCUCAUUUUCUCCAGGUAGCUCUGAAGAGAAGCAUAAGAGUAGAAACCGGUCUCCGUCAAACAGUAGGCAGUCUAACGAAGUCCGUGCUCGGAGUAGAUCUAAGUCACAUGAUCGGGAUAGGGAAAUUUCCAGAGCAAGGAUUGUUGCGGAGGAUGAGUUUUCAGACAGAGGAAAACAUCGUGGUUCUAGUAGGGAUUAUCAUCAUGACAGAGUUGACUCAGGUAGGACUGAGGAAAGAUAUCACCGACUGGGGAGAUAUGAGGAAAAUGACAGGCAAUAUAGUCGAGAUGUUUUGGAAAGAGAAAGAAGUAAGGAGAGAGACAUGGACAGGGAGGGAAGCAUAAGAGAUAGGGAUUCAGAAGGAAGUAAGCGAAGAGAGAGAGAUAGUGAUCGAAGGAGGGACAGAGAACGAGAAAAGAGGAGGGAAAUAGAGGUUGACCGAGAAAUGCGAAAAGAGAAGGAACGAGAGGGCAGCAUUGAUAGGAGAAGGGAGAGGGAAGGGGAUUAUUUACGGGAUAGAGACAAUGAAAGAGGUAGGAGUAGAGAUAGAACCAGGUAUAGCAGCAGAGAGAGUAGGAGAGAAAAGGAAAGGGUGAGUGAAAAAGAUAGGGAGAAAGGAAGAGAAAUCCAGACUGAUAGGGAAAAAUAUAGAAGUAGUGAUGUGGACUACAGUGAGAUGAGGCACGGACAGUCCAGACACUCAAGAUAUGAUGCGAUAGAUGACUUAGAAAUGAGAAGGCCAAAUUCAUUGAAGGCCCAAAAAUCUAAGGAUGAUAAGUCAGAAGAAACGCGGGGAAAUAAUGAAAGGUCCCGAAAUGAGGAUGACCAAGAUGAUAAUGACGAAGGAGUUGUUUGGAAAUCUCCAGAGGAAGAAGAAGAAGAACUAAAUAGAAUCAAGGAGGAGAGCAGGAAGCGAAUGGAAGCCAUACUGGAGAAACAUAAGAAGAAGCCUGAGCAGCAAAAUGAACCUUUUUCUCAGGAUAAGGGGAAAGAUGUCGCUCAAGAAGUUGCCCCAAAGUCGGAUUCUUCUGCAGUUGUCAUAGCAGCUAAUGUUGGUCAAGCCAAAUCUAACCUUGAUGCUGACGCUGACAAGGCAUCUUUAAUGGCUCCAGCAGGGCUUGGUGAAGGUAGCCCGAAGAGUGAAAGAUCAGCUGACAUGUUUCAUGAUGAUAUCUUUGGAGAAUCUCCAGCUGGUAUUCGGAAAGUGGGAGGGAAAGGUGACGGUGUUCCCAUGGUGAGGAGUGGGCUUCAUGAUAAUUGGGAUGAUGCAGAGGGUUAUUACAGCUAUCAAUUUGGCGAGUUACUUGAUGGUAGAUAUGAAGUCAUUGCUACUCAUGGAAAAGGUGUCUUCUCUACUGUGGUUCGUGCGAAAGAUUUGAAAGCUGGACCAACUGAACCUGAAGAAGUGGCAAUAAAAAUUAUUCGUAACAAUGAGACGAUGCAUAAAGCUGGCAAGAUUGAGGUUCAGAUAUUGAAGAAGUUGGCUGGCGCUGACCGAGAUGACAGACGCCACUGUGUUCGUUUCAUUUCAACCUUUAAGUACCGUAAUCACCUUUGCUUGGUGUUUGAGUCGCUCCAUUUGAAUCUUCGAGAGGUCUUGAAGAAGUUUGGUCGCAACAUUGGUCUUCAACUCUCUGCUGUUAGGGCUUAUUCAAAACAGCUAUUCAUAGCCCUUAAACAUCUGAAGAAUUGUGGGGUUCUUCACUGCGAUAUAAAGCCUGACAACAUGCUGGUUAAUGAGGGGAAAAACGUGUUAAAGCUUUGUGACUUUGGUAAUGCAAUGUUUGCUGGCAAAAACGAAGUUACGCCAUAUCUUGUUAGUCGCUUUUACAGAUCCCCUGAAAUCAUUUUGGGGCUCGCGUAUGACCAUCCGUUGGAUAUAUGGUCCGUUGGCUGCUGUCUGUAUGAGCUUUAUAGCGGGAAAGUUCUUUUCCCUGGCGCCACAAACAAUGAUAUGUUACGCCUUCAUAUGGAACUGAAAGGUCCUUUCCCUAAAAAAAUGCUUCGCAAGGGAGCAUUUAUUGAUCAGCACUUUGAUCAGGACUUGAACUUUUAUGCUACAGAGGAAGACACUGUUAGUGGAAAGCUGAUAAAGAGAAUGAUCGCAAACGUAAAGCCGAAAGAUUUUGGUUCGAUCAUUAAAGGUUACCCUGGCGUUAGCUCACCCAUUCAUCACUGGCAAGUGAAACCACAUUGCCAUUUUCUCCCUCUUAUAUCAGGAAAUGCUGUUGUCCUAGAUAUCUGUACAUUACACAUCUUAAUUUUAUUUAAGGUUCUAAUUUUUGAAUUGUCUCUACCUACCUUCUGCUGCCUGAGAGAGCUUUGGUUACAAUGUCGACAUGGGUGGAGUUCUCAUUACCGACGAUUCUCAGGGGACUUUACUGGUUCUUUAUUGACAUCUACCAAUGCUUAGAGACAGUCCUAACAUCUUUCAAUGGUUUAAAGGCACACAGGAGAAGGUUUUGCUUGGAGGGGAGAGAGCUGCACAAGAGAAUAACAUACAAAGGGUCUUUACUCUCUCCUCCUGCAAGUUUGAAGUGUUAUUUGAGAGUAAAUCAAUAUAAUGAGAUGGAUCAACAAUCAAGGAUCGACACCAUCAACAGUCUCGUGAAUGUAGCAUUGGACGGUUGUCCGAUUUGAGAACGUCAACUCUACUCAGUUCAUCCUACAUGGCACAUUCUUAACAAAGCACUUAUAUUAUGUAAUGACCUCGAUAUUUUAACCAACGUACGACAAGCAAACAACUAGAUUUCAGAUGAUAGAUUAUUGUACCGGUGAAGUUGUCGUGGCAGGGUGUAGGCUGACAUGUGCGGUGUCGGGACAAAGACUUCAAACGUAUUUGAGAUCCGCCUGCUGAGCAGUUUGUACGAUAUUGAUAUUGAUAUUGUCAUAUUGAUGUUGAUAUUGGCGAAUUAGAUCAAGACAAGAUUCUUGUUCUUGUAUGCAUCUAUGUACCUUCUCGUCUCUCUAGUCUUUUCAUUCUCCAAUGGUACGGCUGUUCUAAUGUGAGAACCGCAUUCUCUCGUACCUCGCUGUUGUAUGUUUCAUCAUCAUCCACAAAUCUUCUUUUUUUGUUUUGUUGUAAAAGGGGUUUAGUAUCCGAUUUCGAGGAGAGAUGAUACUUUUAUAUCCUCACACUUUAA